GAUGUAUAUAUGAGAAGCAAAAGGAAGAACAGAAGAAGAAAAAAUGGAGUCUGGUCCUCCUCCCAACGAUCUCUGUUCAAUCUGCCAUGCCAACUUUCACAUUCCUUGUCAAGCCAAUUGCUCUCACUGGUUUUGUGCAAAUUGCAUCAUGCUCGUCUGGCAGCACGCAUCAGGAACAAGUUCUUGCAAAUGCCCUCUCUGUCGCCGACCCAUCACUCUCUUAAUCCCCACCGAACACUCUCUCAGUCAGCGUCAUGACCCUGAAGUUGCUCAGAUUCUCUCCAAAAUCCAUGCUUAUAACCGUGUCUUCGGUGGCCAACCCUCCUCUUUUUUUCAGAGAGUGCAAGAUCUUCCUUUUCUGUUGCACAGGCUGCUUCGGGAGUUCCUAAACCCCCAAAGAUCCCUUCCUCUUGUCAUCCGUGCUCGUGUCUUUGUUGCUAUGAUAGCAAGUGUUGUAUACAUCCUGAGUCCAAUUGACCUCAUUCCUGAAGCUAUAUUAGGAAUAGUUGGUCUCUUAGAUGAUGUCUUAAUUGGGCUGAUCUGCUUCCUACAUGUUGCUGCCCUUUAUAGAUCAGUUCUUUAUCUCCGUCAUGCGGGUUCCUGAACAUGUUCUGCAAAUUUUCAAUUCCUGCACUGAUUGAUGGGCAAAAUGGUAAAAGGAGUGAAUGGUAUGGUUUAUAUUUGUGUUGGAAAAGAAGGAGUGUGGGGAGCAGCGCAGGGGAGAAGAAGGAAGAGCGCAGAGAGAAGUGACAGCAACUGCCACCGCGUCGUCCGAAGAUCAAAUUCAACCGUCCCAUUUUCUUCGAUCUCUGUGUUUUUUACUGCACACUGCUAUGCCGUGACAAAUUCAAAAUUUUAGAUUUCAUAUGAUUGAUGAUCAAGAUCUGGGUUUCUUUGCCAAUUUUCUUGGCGUCUUCAUCUUUGUGCUGGUGAUAGCAUACCAUUUUGUUAUGGCUGACCCAAAGUUUGAAGGGAACUAGGAAAGCGUUUUAAGUUAAUGAUGUAAUUUUCGUUUUGUAGACUGAGAUUCUUUGCAAAUGGAUAUUUGAUGCAAUCAAGAACUCUAGUUUGGGAAUGCGAAUGUUAGCUUACGACUAAA
This is an RNA transcript of Vigna radiata var. radiata (mung bean), 1099 nucleotides long. It is a transcript of the gene named E3 ubiquitin-protein ligase RNF170, with no coding region annotated. Lineage: Eukaryota; Viridiplantae; Streptophyta; Magnoliopsida; Fabales; Fabaceae. The transcript is spliced from 8 exons. The record is from RefSeq and is a predicted model, not a curated record.